Molecule: long non-coding RNA, 306 nt
Filed under: Brassica rapa (field mustard)
Lineage: Eukaryota; Viridiplantae; Streptophyta; Magnoliopsida; Brassicales; Brassicaceae
Description: long non-coding RNA (BRAP_LNC000800)
Source: RNAcentral
AGAACGUCAACAAACCAAACGCUUCCACCUCCAUUCAAACGCAGCCGCUUUUUUCCACCGCAACCAAUACCACUUUGCUGCUUCUAGGUUCUUCGAGGAUCAUUUUAGCCUUGAAGCUGCUCGCAUCAAUGACGCAAGAUUAGGGUUGUUGCGUAGGUAUAACUCAUCAAAAAGUUUUUAUGAUCAUGACCGUAGAUCUUACCAGACUAGACCGACGUACGGUGGUGGUGGUGGUGGUGAUGGUAAGAGCAGGCAUGAUUUAUUUUGCGAGUCCAAAACGAAUGUAACGGACCACGUGAGUUUGGA